CCUACGGGUGGCAGCAGUGGGGAAUAUUGCACAAUGGGGGAAACCCUGAUGCAGCGACGCCGCGUGAGUGAAGAAGUAAUUCGUUACGUAAAGCUCUAUCAGCAGGGAAGAAACACUGACCUUACGGUCAGCAGACGGUACCUGAGUAAGAAGCCCCGGCUAACUACGUGCCAGCAGCCGCGGUAAUACGUAGGGGGCAAGCGUUAUCCGGAUUUACUGGGUGUUAAGGGAGCGUAGACGGUACGCCAAGGCUGGAGUGAAAUGCCGCAGCUUAACUGCGGAACUGCUUUGGAAACUGGCGAACUAGAGUGCGGGAGGGGUAAGCGGAAGUCCUGGUGUAGCGGUGAAAUGCGGAGAUAUUAGGAGGAACACCGGUGGCGAAGGCGGCUUACUGGACCGUAACUGACGUUGAGGCGCGAAAGCGUGGGGAGCAAACAGGAUUAGAUACCCUAGUAGUC
This 458-nucleotide ribosomal RNA is filed under the name uncultured bacterium. RNAcentral describes it as "partial 16S ribosomal RNA". It matches the Rfam family "Bacterial small subunit ribosomal RNA", at positions 338 to 795 of the family's 1533-position model. The record is from RNAcentral.